AUUGAACGCUGGCGGCAUGCUUUACACAUGCAAGUCGAACGGGGUGGAGGGGCAACUCUCCAUUCAGUGGCGAACGGGUGAGUAAUGCAUCGGAACGUGUCCCGUAGUGGGGGAUAACCCAGCGAAAGCUGGGCUAAUACCGCAUAUGCUCUGAGGAGGAAAGUGGGGGACCUUAACGGGCCUCACGCUAUGGGAGCGGCCGAUGUCCGAUUAGCUAGUUGGUGGGGAAAGGCCUACCAAGGCGACGAUCGGUAGCUGGUCUGAGAGGAUGAUCAGCCACACUGGGACUGAGACACGGCCCAGACUCCUACGGGA
Molecule: ribosomal RNA, 315 nt
Filed under: uncultured bacterium
Lineage: Bacteria
Description: bacterial SSU rRNA
Rfam family: Bacterial small subunit ribosomal RNA
Source: RNAcentral